GGGCAUGGCGGCAGCCUACCAUGCAAGUCGAACGGCAGCACGGACAUCUUGCUGUCUGGCUGAUGAGUGACGGAUGAGUGAGGUAUGUGAGCGAGACUGCCUGAGGGGGAGGGAUACCUACAGGCGAAGCUAACUCAUACCACGCACUACCGCGGAAACCAAGAGAGGGACAUACCUUGCUCUAGUCAUCCGAUGUGUCCCGAAGUGAUUAGCUGGUGGGGGGGGGGAUCGCUCACGCAAGCAACCAUACCUGGCUGGAGUGAAAGAAUAACCACACUCACAGUGACACACAGACCGUACUCACACCUAAGGGAGGCGUGGGUGAGUAUUAUUGCUGGGUGAGAGCCUGACCCAUGCAUCCCUGCCGCGCGUAUAAAGACUGCGUUUUGGUUGUCAAUU
RNAcentral lists this ribosomal RNA (399 nucleotides) under Pantoea dispersa. RNAcentral describes it as "bacterial SSU rRNA". The record is from RNAcentral. Lineage: Bacteria; Pseudomonadati; Pseudomonadota; Gammaproteobacteria; Enterobacterales; Erwiniaceae.